AGCAGUGAUCGCACGUUGAAAGCACCAAUUUCCAAUGUUUCACUGAAGUUAAGCAACGUUGUACGAGUUUAGUAUUCGGAUCGAUGGCCCUCUGGGCAAUUCUCGUCAGAACUCCUU
This 117-nucleotide ribosomal RNA is filed under the name Diaphorina citri (Asian citrus psyllid). Lineage: Eukaryota; Metazoa; Arthropoda; Insecta; Hemiptera; Psyllidae. The record is from RNAcentral.